AAUGAUUCCUUCCGCAGUGUACACUUGUAGAAGCCUUUGCAGCCACGCAAGUGGUAGAUCCAGGCGACUUUAAAUAAUUCCAGGAUCGCGAUGCAAGUCGGCCCACGCACAUGGUGCCGGCGACACUUUCGAAUUGACGGGGACACCCUAAAGCCUGUCGCACCAACUCUGUGUGGGAAACCGCUCGAGGGCCCGUGCUAACUACACGGGGUGGUAAAAGACGACAUGGAUACUUUCACGCCUUUGGUGUGGAUACUAUGGGCAAUCCGCAGCGAAGCCUCUAAGUCCGGCCGCCGGAUACGAGGAACGUUCACAGACUAAGUGGAAGUGGGUGGAGCGUUUGCCGCUCUGCUUAAGAUAUAGUCGGUCCUCUUAGGAAACCAAGGGGGUGAGUACACUGCUUGAAAUUUAAACACGAACGUGCGUAAUUACAAUCCACGGCGCUCAUGUUAGAAUUUCGAGACUGUCAAUUGCUUCGCGGUUUGACAGCUCUUAAAACGUUCCGUAGGUGAACCUGCGGAAGGAUCAUUA
This 531-nucleotide non-coding RNA is filed under the name Cenococcum geophilum. RNAcentral describes it as "partial 18S ribosomal RNA". The stretch from base 61 to 387 matches the Rfam family "Group I catalytic intron". Rfam says of the family: Group I catalytic introns are large self-splicing ribozymes. They catalyse their own excision from mRNA, tRNA and rRNA precursors in a wide range of organisms. The record is from RNAcentral. Lineage: Eukaryota; Fungi; Ascomycota; Dothideomycetes; Gloniales; Gloniaceae.